CUUAUUCACAUAUCUUGAGGUCAGAGGUCAAGGGACACCUUUGAAAAUGGCCAUGUCAGCUUUUCCUCGUCAAAAUUUAGCACAAGUUUGAAGCGUUAUUUGGCAUUCUUCCUGACAAGCAAACAUGAAAUGGAUAUCAAAGGAUUCUUUAGGUUAUCUAGUUUCAUAUGAUACCAGUAUCUUCACUCUAGCUUUAAAACUGAGCCCGCUACAACCUAAAAAUGGCAAGUUGCGUUAAUGCGUUAUAAAAAAAUAUUGCAUAUAUACCACAAUAGUAAAAUAUGUGUUGUGCUUAUAGUUUGCAGAGUGUGUAACAUUUUUAAUGAGAUAACUGAGUAAAAUUAUUUAAUGCUUGGCUUGGCCUGUGCUAAAUUCAUCUGGGCUUUUUGCCCUCAGUCUGGUCUGCAGCAAGUGAAACACAUGCACAGCUGGACUGACAUGGCCGGUCCAGCACAUUCCAUCUGGGUUAUCCUAUCAGUGUGUUUGGGAUACUUGUCUUUCUGCAUUGUCCUGAAAUUGUGUGAUGAUGAAUAUUAAGUCCUACGAGUUGUACACAGUUGACUGAAUGUGGAUGCACUAUUUGUCCUCUGUAUACAGUACCAAGGAUUCUCUGUGCGGACCAGCGGACCUCUGUCUCCCUCCCCUGGCUGUCAGUGCUUCAUUCCAGACGUCUUGGAUCUGAUCCAAGAGACUCGGCCUCUCUUCUUAUCUCUGUUUGGAUUGUGUGCUUCAGCAUUGUGUGUUUGUGUAUCUGUCCUCUCUCCAGGUUUUUGUGGUGGAGAGGAGGUCGCGUGGCUAAAGACCUUCCUGUUUCGGCAGCACCUGGAAGUUACUAGAUGUCCUCCCUGAUCAUUUUUCUUUAUUUAUGAUGGCAGUCUAUCUACCUAAUGUUACCUCCAGCACCGUCCAGCUGUCACUCAACCCGCCUCCGACCAAUCAGAGCUGGCCCUGACUCCUCCCUCCCUCCUCCUCCUCCCUGGAGGUGGAGACGGAGAGGAGGAGAGAUCUCCUUCUCUUUCUGCUGCUCUCUCUGACUCCAUCUGUACCUCUCAGAGCUGCUCAAUCACCCCCACAGCUCUACUACCAUGGAGAGAGGGCUACUGCUGGCUGUGUGUCUGCUGCUCUGGAGCUGCAGCCUGUGUGUGGUUACAGCCAUCCAGAGGGCUGAUCUCUUCCCUUAUGGCACCCUGAGUGGAGAUCUGAUUCUGGCAGAGGGCGACGAUGAAACCUCCAGAGUGCUGUCCCUGCCAAGAGCCUUCUACUUCUACGACUCCUUCUUCUCCCAGCUAUAUGUGGCUACUAAUGGAAUCGUAUCAGCCCAGGACCUGCCGAUGGAGAAGCAAUACGUUGACGACGGAUUCCCCACAGAUUUCCCCGUGGUGGCUCCGUUUCUGGCCGACAUCGACACCAGCGGAGGGCGAGGACAGAUUUACUACCGGGUGACCGAAACGCCCAGUGUGCUCAACAGAGUGGCCCAGGAAGUCCAUCGAGGAUUCCCAGAUGCAAAAUUCACACCCACGCAUGUUGUGGUUGCAACAUGGGAGAACGUCGCGGCAUAUGAAGAACAAACUCGAACCACUGGACCUUCAAACAAGGUCAAUACGUUCCAGGCAGUGAUUGGUUACGAUGAGACCGAUUCAUACGUUCUCUUCCUCUACCCUGAAGGUGGCCUGAACUUCUUUGGGACACGCCCCAAGGAGUCUUAUAAUGUUGAGAUAGAGCUUCCUGCUAGAGUGGGCUUCAGCAGAGGAGAAAUCACAUAUCUGAUCUUCUCCCGAACUGAGGGACCUCACUACAGCGUUACCAGCGAUGAACAGAGUGUUAAAAACCUCUACCAGGUUGGCAAUACAGGGAUUCCAGGCGUUUGGCUUUUCCACACUGGGAACCGUUACUCCUUUGACAACAUUGUUCCCGCAUCCACUGGUGGCCUCCUUGUUACUCCACCAUCUGGAGAACACAGCCUCUCCCUGGACACCACCACCCCUGACUAUAGUGAGUUUGAGGAUUACCCAGACAACACUUUUGACCCUGAUAACCAGGACGAAGAAGAUGAUUACCCUCUGACCGGCGUGGACCCUGAAUUCCAGCCAGCCCCUGCUCCAGCAAGUCCUGAUGCUCCCUCGUCCCCUCCAGAGGAUGGUCACCAGGUGUCGUACGGCAGCGAUGAUGUGCCAUUGACCUCUGAACCCAGGUACAAUUCAGAGCCAGCAGAGAGGCAGUAUGCUCCCCCUAAUCAUCCAGAAAGAGUACCAGAGGGAGGUGACCGGCAGACUCAGGAACAGCAACCACAGGUUCCUCUGGAGGUGGUGGAUGUCUACCCCCCUCACAGGAAUGAGCAGCCUCUUUCCCCCGGAGGUCACGUGGUCAGCGUGGACGAAGACGAUAUUGAUUUUGACACAGGAGUGAUUCACUACACUACAGAGAAUAAGGAAACAUGUGCCAGAUUCCAACAGCAGUGCUCCCAGAAUAAUGCAUUCUGCUCUGACUACGCCACAGGCUACUGCUGCCACUGCCGGCCUGGCUUCUAUGGAAACGGACGCCAAUGUCUACCAGAGGGCGCCCCACAGCGCGUUAGCGGUAAGGUGACCGGAACGGUGACUGUGGGUUCGACUCCGGUGACGCUGAACAACAUUGACCUUCACGCCUACAUCGUGGUGGGAGACGGCAGAGCGUACACUGCCAUCAGCGAGGUACCAGAGCCAGUGGGCUGGGCUCUGAUGCCACUCGCACCAAUAGGAGAGCUGUUUGGAUGGCUGUUUGCUCUGGAGCUGCCCAAUAGCCAAGCAGGGUUCAAAAUCACAGGUGCUGAGUUCACUCGUCGUGCAGAGGUGAUCUUCUACCCCGGCAACCAGCGCCUGUCAAUCAUCCAGACGGGCCGCGGCCUAGACGAACACAACCACCUCACCGUGGAUACUGUAGUCAGCGGCAACGUGCCCUUCCUGCCCCCUGGAGCUGAAGUCACCAUGGAUCCCUUCAAGGAGACCUACCAGUACUACCCAUCUGUUGCCACCUCCACCUCCGUGAGGGAGUUUUCAGUGGUUUCGACCGAGCGCGGCUCAGAGUCUUUCUCCUUCCAGCUGAAGCAGAACAUCACCUACCACGACUGUCGGCACGACAACCGCGCCGCUCUCCCAGAGACGCUUCAGAUCACAAUGGAGAGGGUGUUUGUGAUGUACGUCAAGGAGGAGCGGAUCCUGAGAUAUGCCAUCACCAACAAGAUCAGCCCAGUCGGAGCCGAGCCAACAGAGCCGGAGCUGGUCAACCCCUGCUACGCCGGGAACCACGACUGUGACACCACGGCCCAGUGUAUCCCACUGGAGGGCCAGGCCUUCCAGUGCCAGUGUGCUACUGGUUACAGAGGGGAUGGACGCAACUGUUACGACGUAGACGAGUGUGCUGAGGAGUCGACUCCAUGCGGUGCUCAUGCUGAGUGUGUGAACCUGGCUGGUAGCCACCGUUGCCAGUGCCAGACUGGCUAUGAGUUUGGCUUCGAUGGCCGUACCUGUGUUGAUAUGGACGAAUGCAGCUCCUCUCCAUGCCACAUCAGUGCCAGAUGUAUCAAUGCACUGGGUUCCUUCCAUUGUCAGUGCCAGCCUGGCUUUUAUGGUGAUGGUUUCUACUGUUCCCAGCAGCAAGGACAGACAGUUCGCCCGAAGAGCCAGUGCGAGCAGCACAGAGACAGCCUGCAGAGUGGGGGUGAACAAGGCGGUCGACCCAGUAUCGGAGCCUUCGUCCCUCAGUGCAACCAUGACGGACGCUACCGACAACUGCAGUGUCACGGCUCCACUGGACAUUGUUGGUGCGUGGACGAUAGGGGGCAAGAGAUAGCGGGAACCAGGACUCCACCUGGUACAGUGCCUAGAGGCUGUGGCAGACCGGAGGAACCAGAGCGUCCUAAAUCUCGCUGUGAGCACCACAGAGACAGCGUACAGACCACCAGUCCAGAAGGGUAUCCUCUACUUGGAGCCUACGUACCUCAGUGUGACACUAAUGGAGAGUACAUACUUUUACAGUGUCAUGGCUCCACUGGACAUUGCUGGUGUGUGGACGGUGAAGGACAGGAGAGAGCCGGAACCAGGACACAAUCUGGUACAACACCCACAGACUGUGACAAACCAGAUGAACCAGAGCGUCCUAAAACUCACUGUGAGCACCACAGAGACGGCGUACAGACCACCAGUCCAGAGGGAUAUCCUAUACUUGGAGCCUACGUACCUCAGUGUGACGAUAACGGACAGUACGCAUCGCUACAAUGUCACGAUUCCACUGGACAUUGUUGGUGUGUGGACGUAAGGGGGCAGGAGAGAGCAGGAACCAGAACUUCACCUGGUACGGCACCCAGAGACUGUGACAGACCAGACGAACCAGAGCGUCCUAAAACUCACUGUGAGCACCACAGAGACGGCGUGCAGACCACCAGUCCAGAGGGUUAUCCUAUAGUUGGAGCCUACGUACCUCAGUGUGACACUAACGGACAGUACACACCACUGCAGUGUCACGGCUCUACUGGACAUUGUUGGUGUGUGGACAGUCGGGGACAGGAGAGAACAAGAACCAGGACAUCACCUGGUGCACCGCCAACAGACUGUGACAAACCAGAUGAACCAGAGCGUCCUAAAACUCACUGUGAGCACCACAGAGACGGCGUACAGACCACCAGUCCAGAGGGAUAUCCUCUACUUGGAGCCUACGUACCUCAGUGUGACGAUAACGGACAGUACAUAUCAUUGCAGUGUCACGGAUCCACUGGUCAUUGUUGGUGUGUGGACGGUAGGGGACAGGAGAAAGCAGGAACCAGGACUCCGCCUAGUACACCACCUACAGACUGUGACAAACCAGAGCGUCCUAAAACCUACUGUGAGCAGCACAGAGACAGUGUCCAGACCACCAGUCCAGAGGGAUAUCCUAUACCUGGAGUGUUCGUACCUCAGUGUGAUUCAAAUGGACAGUACACGUCUCAACAGUGUCACGGUUCCUCUGGACACUGUUGGUGUGUGGACAGUAGGGGACAGGAGAGAGCAGGAACCAGGACGUCACCUGGCACGUCACCUGUAGACUGUGACAAACCAGAUGAACCAGAGCGUCCUAAAACUCACUGUGAGCACCACAGAGACAGCGUACAGACCACCAGUCCAGAGGGAUAUCCUAUAGUUGGAGCCCAUGUACCUCAGUGUGAUGCAGUAGGACAGUACAUAUCCCUUCAGUGCCACGGCUCCACUGGACAUUGUUGGUGUGUGGACAGUAGGGGGCAGGAGAGAGCAGGAACCAGGACACUUCCUGGUACACAACCCAAAGACUGUGACAAACCAGAUGAACCAGAGCGUCCUAAAACUCACUGUGAACACCACAGAGAAAGAGCUCAGGCUACCAGUAAAGACGGAUAUCCUGUAGUUGGAGCUUAUGUGCCCCAAUGCGACGCUGAUGGACAGUACCUAACACUGCAGUGCCACGGUUCCUCUGGACAUUGUUGGUGUGUGGACAGUAGGGGGCAAGAGAGAACAGGAACCAGGACUCCACCUGGUACACAACCCAAAGACUGUGACAAACCAGAUGAACCAGAGCGUCCUAAAACUCACUGUGAACUCCACAAAGAAAGAGCUCAGGCUACCAGUCAAGACGGAUAUCCUAUAGUUGGAGCUUAUGUGCCCCAAUGCGACGCUGAAGGACAGUACCUACCACUGCAGUGCCACGGUUCCUCUGGACAUUGCUGGUGUGUGGACAGUAGGGGACAAGAGAGAACAGGAAGCAGGACUCCACCUGGUACACAACCCAAAGACUGUGACAAACCAGAUGAACCGGAGCGUCCUAAAACUCACUGUGAGCACCACAGAGCCAGUGUACAGACCACCAGUCCAGAGGGAUACCCUAUAGUUGGAGCCUAUGUACCUCAGUGUGAUGCAGUAGGACAGUACACAUCUCAACAGUGCCACGGUUCCACUGGACGUUGUUGGUGUGUGGACAGUAGAGGACAGGAGAGAGCAGGGACCAGGACUCCACCUGGUACACCACAUGUAGACUGUGACAGAACAGUCCCCGUGGCUCCAACCCAGCGUCCUGAGAGUGUGUGCGAGCGAUGGAGGGCCAGUCUGAUCGAGCACUACGGUGGGACACCAGAGCCACAACAAUACGUGCCUCAGUGUGAGGAAGAUGGACUAUUCAGUCCGGUCCAGUGUUAUGGAGAGACCACUUACUGCUGGUGUGUGGACCAGGACGGGCGGGAGGUUCCUGGUACCCGAUCGAAUGAUGUCGUCAAACCUGCAUGCCUUCCCUCAGUGGCCCCGCCCACCGUGCGCCCAUUGCCCCGCCCAGAUGUGACUCCUCCGCCAAACACUGACAUCACACUGCUGUACGCUCAGGGACAGAAGAUAGGAGCGCUGCCUCUCAACGGGACCAGACUAGAUGGAGCCCGGUCCAAAACACUACUGACUCUACAUGGUUCCAUAGUUGUCGGUAUAGCCCAUGACUGCAAAGAGAACCAAGUCUAUUGGACAGAUUUGUCUGCGAGAACAAUCAACAGAGCUUCGAUGGCGACUGGUGCCGAGCCAGAGAUCCUCAUUAACACAAAUCUGGUCAGUCCGGAGGGUUUGGCGGUGGACGUCAAGCGUAGGUUGAUGUUCUGGGUCGACUCGAACCCCGACUUGAUCGAAAGCGCCAACCUGGACGGCAGCGGGAGGCGGACGCUGUUUGACACAGACUUGGUCAACCCUCGAGCCAUCAUUGUGGUCUCCUCCACCGGUACUCUGUAUUGGACCGAUUGGAACCGAGAGGCUCCUAAGAUCGAGAGUGCAUCGGUGGACGGUCAGAACCGCAGGGUGGUAGUGUCUGACGGGAUCGGUCUGCCAAACGCUCUCACGUAUGACUCCUCUUCUGGACAAGUCUGCUGGGCCGAUGCAGGUACGAAGCGUUUGGAGUGCGUAUCCCCGGAUGGUUCAGGUCGAAGAGUGGUCCACCCCACCGUCAACUACCCGUUCAGCAUGGUCUACUACAGGAACCACUUCUACUACACUGACUGGAGGAGGGACGGAGUGAUCGCAGUGAGCAAAGACAGUAGUCAGAUCACUGAUGAGUACUUGCCUGACCAGCGCUCUCACCUGUACGGCAUCGCCAUAGCAACCACCAGCUGUCUAUCAGGCCACUGCAGCACUUAAGCUCUCAUCCUGUUGGAUUCACACAGGAAGAGAAAAUCAGAGCUCUUCAUUUCCACCUGGAGAUUUAAACUAGAAGAAAACAGGGAGCCACUAACGUCAGAGCGGCAGCUGCAGUAUCCUUUGGUGCUAAAGUUCUGGGGCGAUUCCUGAUCAGAGGGCAGGACCACCUUAAAAAGAGCCUCCAGUGUCCCUCCGAAAAAACACUAGGACGCAAGAUGGCCUCGUGCUGCCAGGUCGACCACCAGAACAAAUUUACAACCCCUCCACUCACCUUAAAGAUAUAACCCCAAAAUAAAUGUUUUGUAAAUUUGUUUUAUACCUCAUUUUUAGUUUGUUUUUUCUACUGUAUUUUUGUACGCGAGUUGUUUUUUUAUCGAUUGAAGCUACAGAACAAAUGAAAUCAGAUUUUAAAACGUAUGCGAGUGUAGGUUCUUCUGUCCGUUAAAGCCAAAGAAGAAUGACCUGAAACUGUUCGAGCCAAAGUUCUGUCGUGAAACUGAGCUUCUGAUUUCUUUUUUGGUCGGCUGGCCACAGCGGCUUUUAAACUCAAGUGUCUUUAUUUAGCUGUGGAAUAAAAACAGGUCAAAAGAAUGGUUAAAUGUUUUGGGAAUUUUUUUUCCUUUCUUGACGAGAAUUAGACGAGAAGAUUGAUCAAUCUUCUCAUCCAACUCUUGGCAAAAAAGCAAAUGAGCUUAUUUUUCAAAUUCCAUAAAAAUAUGCUAAGUGGAAAAUCAUUGCCAUUGUUGGGUGCGUGAAAUCGUUUUUUUUGUAAUCAGAUUACUGCAAUCUGAUUCUCUGUAAUAAUGUAUUUCCCUGAGCCCUGUGUGCCACGCUCAGAUCAGUCCAGCCAUAUCUCUCUGCACUACUAAUCUGUAUUUCACACAUGAUGAAAGGACAUUACAUGCUUUUUUUUGCCAAAUAUUUUUUACUACUACUACUUCUCAAAUCUUUAUCUUUUUAUAAGAUGUGAUAUUUAUAACAAUAAAAUGUGAUUUGGUACUUGA
This is an RNA transcript of Sebastes umbrosus (honeycomb rockfish), 8152 nucleotides long. It is a transcript of the gene named nidogen 2a (osteonidogen), with no coding region annotated. Lineage: Eukaryota; Metazoa; Chordata; Actinopteri; Perciformes; Sebastidae. The transcript is spliced from 48 exons. The record is from RefSeq and is a predicted model, not a curated record.